RNAcentral lists this ribosomal RNA (1352 nucleotides) under uncultured bacterium. Its description in RNAcentral is "bacterial SSU rRNA". It matches the Rfam family "Bacterial small subunit ribosomal RNA", at positions 28 to 1381 of the family's 1533-position model. The record is from RNAcentral.
AUUGAACGCUGGCGGCAUGCCUUACACAUGCAAGUCGAACGGCAGCACGGAGCUUGCUCUGGUGGCGAGUGGCGAACGGGUGAGUAAUAUAUCGGAACGUACCCUAGAGUGGGGGAUAACGUAGCGAAAGUUACGCUAAUACCGCAUACGAUCUAAGGAUGAAAGUGGGGGAUCGCAAGACCUCAUGCUCGUGGAGCGGCCGAUAUCUGAUUAGCUAGUUGGUAGGGUAAAAGCCUACCAAGGCAUCGAUCAGUAGCUGGUCUGAGAGGACGACCAGCCACACUGGAACUGAGACACGGUCCAGACUCCUACGGGAGGCAGCAGUGGGGAAUUUUGGACAAUGGGCGAAAGCCUGAUCCAGCAAUGCCGCGUGAGUGAAGAAGGCCUUCGGGUUGUAAAGCUCUUUUGUCAGGGAGGAAACGGUGAGAGCUAAUAUCUCUUGCUAAUGACGGUACCUGAAGAAUAAGCACCGGCUAACUACGUGCCAGCAGCCGCGGUAAUACGUAGGGUGCAAGCGUUAAUCGGAAUUACUGGGCGUAAAGCGUGCGCAGGCGGUUUUGUAAGUCUGAUGUGAAAUCCCCGGGCUCAACCUGGGAAUUGCAUUGGAGACUGCAAGGCUAGAAUCUGGCAGAGGGGGGUAGAAUUCCACGUGUAGCAGUGAAAUGCGUAGAUAUGUGGAGGAACACCGAUGGCGAAGGCAGCCCCCUGGGUCAAGAUUGACGCUCAUGCACGAAAGCGUGGGGAGCAAACAGGAUUAGAUACCCUGGUAGUCCACGCCCUAAACGAUGUCUACUAGUUGUCGGGUCUUAAUUGACUUGGUAACGCAGCUAACGCGUGAAGUAGACCGCCUGGGGAGUACGGUCGCAAGAUUAAAACUCAAAGGAAUUGACGGGGACCCGCACAAGCGGUGGAUGAUGUGGAUUAAUUCGAUGCAACGCGAAAAACCUUACCUACCCUUGACAUGGCUGGAAUCCCGGAGAGAUUUGGGAGUGCUCGAAAGAGAACCAGUACACAGGUGCUGCAUGGCUGUCGUCAGCUCGUGUCGUGAGAUGUUGGGUUAAGUCCCGCAACGAGCGCAACCCUUGUCAUUAGUUGCUACGAAAGGGCACUCUAAUGAGACUGCCGGUGACAAACCGGAGGAAGGUGGGGAUGACGUCAAGUCCUCAUGGCCCUUAUGGGUAGGGCUUCACACGUCAUACAAUGGUACAUACAGAGCGCCGCCAACCCGCGAGGGGGAGCUAAUCGCAGAAAGUGUAUCGUAGUCCGGAUUGUAGUCUGCAACUCGACUGCAUGAAGUUGGAAUCGCUAGUAAUCGCGGAUCAGCAUGUCGCGGUGAAUACGUUCCCGGGUCU